CAGGUCAGGCGGGGCCACCCGCUGAGUUAAGC
This 32-nucleotide ribosomal RNA is filed under the name Mimosa boliviana. RNAcentral's name for it is "partial 28S ribosomal RNA". The record is from RNAcentral. Lineage: Eukaryota; Viridiplantae; Streptophyta; Magnoliopsida; Fabales; Fabaceae.